RNAcentral lists this transfer RNA (72 nucleotides) under Bos taurus (domestic cattle). It matches the Rfam family "tRNA". Rfam says of the family: Transfer RNA (tRNA) molecules are approximately 80 nucleotides in length. Their secondary structure includes four short double-helical elements and three loops (D, anti-codon, and T loops). RNAcentral also lists the same sequence under 4 other names. Lineage: Eukaryota; Metazoa; Chordata; Mammalia; Artiodactyla; Bovidae. The record is from Rfam by way of RNAcentral.
UCCCUCUUAGCUCAGUUGGUAAAGAAUCUGCCUGCAGUGCAGGAGACCUAGGUUCGAUCCCUGGGUUGGGAA